GCCUACGGGUGGCAGCAGUAGGGAAUUUUCCACAAUGGGCGAAAGCCUGAUGGAGCAACGCCGCGUGCAGGAUGAAGGCCCUCGGGUCGUAAACUGCUUUUAUGUGAGAAGAAUAUGACGGUAACACAUGAAUAAGGGUCGGCUAACUACGUGCCAGCAGCCGCGGUCAUACGUAGGACCCAAGCGUUAUCCGGAAUUACUGGGCGUAAAGAGUUGCGUAGGUGGCAUUGUAAGUGGAGCGUGAAAGCGUGCGGCUCAACCGCAUUACUGCGUUCCAAACUGCAGAGCUUGAGUACGAGAGAGGUAGAUGGAAUUCCCAGUGUAGGAGUGAAAUCCGUAGAUAUUGGGAGGAACACCGAUGGCGUAGGCAGUCUACUGGCUCGUUACUGACACUAAGGCACGAAAGCGUGGGGAGCAAACGGGAUUAGAUACCCCAGUAGUC
This 442-nucleotide ribosomal RNA is filed under the name uncultured bacterium. RNAcentral describes it as "bacterial SSU rRNA". It matches the Rfam family "Bacterial small subunit ribosomal RNA", at positions 337 to 795 of the family's 1533-position model. The record is from RNAcentral.